Molecule: ribosomal RNA, 472 nt
Filed under: uncultured bacterium
Lineage: Bacteria
Description: SSU rRNA
Rfam family: Bacterial small subunit ribosomal RNA
Source: RNAcentral
AGGACGAACGCUGGCGGCGUGCUUAACACAUGCAAGUCGAGCGGAAAGGCCCUUUGGGGUACUCGAGCGGCGAACGGGUGAGUAACACGUGAGUAACCUGCCCUCCACUCUGGGAUAAGCCCGGGAAACUGGGUCUAAUACCGGAUAUGACUGCGGAUUUCAUGGUCUGUGGUGGAAAGUUUUUUCGGUGGGGGAUGGACUCGCGGCCUAUCAGCUUGUUGGUGAGGUAAUGGCUUACCAAGGCGACGACGGGUAGCCGGCCUGAGAGGGCGACCGGCCAACGACUGGGACUGAGACACGGCCCAGACUCCUACGGGAGGCAGCAGUGGGGAAUAUUGCACGAAUGGGGGGAACCCUGAUGCAGCGACGCCGCGUGCGGGAUGAAGGCCUUCGGGUUGUAAACCGCUUUCAGCAGGACGAAAUUGACGGUACCUGCAGAAGAAGCACCGGCUAACUACGUGCCAGCAGCCGC